CUGGGUAACCGAGCGCUCCGGCGCUCACCCCCCACCCUUUGUUUCCCGCCCCUGUUCGGCGUCAGGCGGGCCCCUCGAUGGGGGGGCCCUCCGGCCGGAAUCCAAACCCUGAUCAACAGUGCAGCCUGAAGUAACAAGCAAAUAGUUA
RNAcentral lists this unclassified non-coding RNA (148 nucleotides) under uncultured Dothideomycetes. Its description in RNAcentral is "sequence contains ITS1". The record is from RNAcentral. Lineage: Eukaryota; Fungi; Ascomycota; Dothideomycetes.